Molecule: RNA transcript, 3325 nt
Organism: Pongo pygmaeus (Bornean orangutan)
Lineage: Eukaryota; Metazoa; Chordata; Mammalia; Primates; Hominidae
Gene: CCNQ
Gene name: cyclin Q
Exons: 6
Source: RefSeq, a predicted model, not a curated record
GCGGCCGCGCCUGCCGCGAGCACCCACAUUUUCUGCCGGCCUCUGCGCGCCGGAGCCGCGUCUCCUUCCGCCGGUGCCGCGAAGCCUCAUGGAAGCCCCGGAGGGCGGCGGAGGGGGGCCUACAGCGCGGGGCCCGGAGGGGCAGCCGGCCCCCGAAGCCAGGGUGCACUUCCGAGUGGCGAGGUUCAUCAUGGAGGCAGGUGUCAAGCUAGGGAUGCGGUCCAUUCCCAUUGCCACUGCUUGCACCAUUUACCAUAAGUUCUUUUGCGAGACCAACCUGGACGCCUAUGACCCUUACCUGAUUGCCAUGUCUUCAAUUUACUUGGCCGGCAAAGUGGAAGAGCAGCACCUGCGGACUCGUGACAUCAUCAAUGUGUCCAACAGGUACUUUAACCCAAGUGGUGAGCCCCUGGAAUUGGACUCCCGCUUCUGGGAGCUCCGGGACAGCAUCGUGCAGUGUGAGCUUCUCAUGCUGAGAGUUCUGCGCUUCCAGGUCUCCUUCCAGCAUCCACACAAGUACCUGCUCCACUACCUGGUUUCCCUCAAGAACUGGCUGAACCGCCACAGCUGGCAGCGGACCCCCGUUGCCGUCACUGCCUGGGCCCUGCUGCGGGACAGCUACCACGGGGGGCUGUGCCUCCGUUUCCAGGCCCAGCACAUCGCUGUGGCGGUGCUCUACCUGGCCCUGCAGGUCUACGGAGUUGAGGUGCCCGCCGAGGUCGAGGCUGAGAAGCCGUGGUGGCAGGUGUGUAGUGACGACCUUACCAAGCCAAUCAUUGAUAAUAUUGUGUCUGAUCUCAUUCAGAUUUAUACCAUGGACACAGAGAUCCCCUAAGGUCCUGGCCCAGGCCUGCCCAAAGAGAAUCCCAGGAUGGUCGGCUGCCUGGGGACAUUGCCACCACGUCGCCAUGAUGGCUGGUCCCCAGAGGACCAGCUGGGAGGACUGGUUGUGCUGCUGGAGAAGGGCUGGAGAAGGCGAUGGCAUGCUGCCGCUUUGACAGUCCCUAGCAGUCGCGGUCCAGGUGAUGAUGGGAGCCACGCCACCAGCGGGCAGGCUGGGAGUGCACUGUGUGCAGCUGACCCAAGGCAGCCACAUCUGCUUUUGUCCUUUGAGAGGACUCUGACUACAAUAGAGGCAUGACAUCAAUGAAAGGAAAAUCAUGAAAUCGAUGAGACUGAAUCCCUAUGGAUUUUUUAAAAGCCGGAUUUAUAGGGAGAAUGAAUGUGCAACAUGACUGAAAUCUAUUUUGUGUAAUAAAAGAAAGAAAGGACUCUGAGGUGACAGAAUUGCAAGCCGGAAACAGCCUCCCACGUGCCUAACAGAAAUACAGCCUAUAUUUCUUCUGGAGCCUAACAGAGCCUCCCAUGUGCAUUGAACUGUGCUGUGGGUGAGAAUAAAGCUUCUUGAUUCAGGUAUAAGAAAAAAAGAGGAGGAGAGACACAGACACGGGAGAAAAACCACACGACAACAGAGGCAGAGGUUGGAGUGAAGCAUCUACAAGCCAAGGAAUUCCGAGGAUGGCUGGCAAUGCCCAAAACUAAGAGGAGGUCCUGGAGCAGAUUCUCCCCUGGAGCCUUCAGAGGGAGCAUGGCCUGCCCAUGCCUUGAUUUUGGACUUCUGGCCUUCAGAACUGGGAGAGAAGUUUCUGUUGUGAGCAGCCACGGGCCACUCACACACGGACCUCCCCCAGACCCCUGCACAAGCCUUUACUCCCAGGACUCAGCUGUUUCAGUGAGUUCUGAUUUUCCCCCGUGGAACCUGUGUCAUGUUUGAAGCAGAAGCUUGUGGACAAGGGAUUCACAGACACAAAUUUGCGAUUCUUUUGGGGUAGCAUGAUGUCUCUCCAUGAAGGGCCAGCUGUCUUGGUAUGGACUUUGGCUCAAUCUGGACUUACUCAUCCUUAUGGUUCAGGAUGCACUUGGACACCAAUGCAGCAAGGACAUGCUGCGAUUCUUCUGCCUGCUGUUUUCAAUUUGUCUUUUCUCUUCUCUUUUCUCUUUUUUCUUUUCUUUUCUUUUUUCUUCUCCUCUCUCUCUCUCUCUUUCUUUCUUUCUUUCCUGACAGAAUCUUACUCUGUCACUCAGGCUGGAGUGCAGUGGCACGAUCUGGGCUCACCACAACCUCUGCCUCCUGGGUUCAAGCGAUUCUCCUGCCUCAGCCUCCCAAGUAGCUGGGAUUACAGGCAUGCACCACCAAGCCCGGCUAAUUUUUUUAUUUUUAGUAGAGAGAGGGUUUCAUCAUUUUGGCCAGGCUGGUCUCGAACUCCUGACCUCAAGUGAUCCCCCGCCUCGGCCUCCCAAAGUGCUGGGAUUACAGGUGUGAGCCACUGCACCCAGCCUGAUUGGUCUUUUUGCCAGUUUUAGAAGCUUGGACUCUGAUGCUUUGAAUGACUUUGAAGCCAUUUUUCUCGUCUCUUGGCAGCCUUCCUGGAAAAUGCGUCUUCCAGUGCUGCCAAGUCGAAAAGGGAAAGAGAAAUCCAAUGAAAUGAGGGGAGUGUGGUCUUAGCGCCAUCGCCAGGGUGGUCAUUGGCAAGUCUUGGCCACAGGAUUGCCUUGCUGGCUCUUCCGGGCUCAAGCAGGGGUGGGACCAUGGAGCAUGGCAUGCACAGGCACAGGUGUUCAGGGAUGCAGCAUGUGGAUUAAGGGAAUGAGUGAAAUGGUGGGCUUUCUUCCUGUGGCUUUGGAUUAGCGAAGGCGUCUAUGAUUGGAACGCUCGUGCACUGCUGAUGAGAAUGGAAAAUGGAGGUUUCUCAAAAGGUUCAACCUACAGUUCCCAUAGGAUCCAGUAUUUCCACUGCUGGGUAUAGGCCCAAAGGAAUGGAAGGCAAGGUCUGGAAGGGCGGUUUGCAUACCCAUGUCCACUGCAGCGUGAUCCACAAUAGCUGAAAUGUGGAAGCAACCUAAAUGUCCAUGGAUGGCUGAUUGCAUAAGCAAAAUGUGGCAUAUCCAGACAAUGGAGUAUGAUUCACCUUAAAAAGGAAAUUCUGACACAUGCUUCCACAUGGAUGAUUCUUGAGGACAUCAUGCUAGUCACAGGAGGGCAAAUACUGUAGGAUUCCACUUCUAUGAGGGGCCUAGAGUGGUCAAAUCCAUAGAGGCAGAAAGUAGAAGAUUGGGUGCCAGGGGCUGGGGGGUGGGGAGUUGGGGUUGAACGGGGCCAGAGCUUCAGUUUGGGAAGAUGAACAAGUUCUGCGGCUGGAUGGUGGUGAUGGCUGCACAGCACCGUGAAUGUGCUUCUGCCCCUGGGCCGCACACUUAAAAAUGGUGAACUUGGUACAUUUUAUGUGAUCUGUGUUUUACCACAAUAAAAGAAGUGAGGAGUGUG